Molecule: long non-coding RNA, 2098 nt
Filed under: Sus scrofa (pig)
Lineage: Eukaryota; Metazoa; Chordata; Mammalia; Artiodactyla; Suidae
Description: lncRNA (ENSSSCG00055000518.1)
Source: RNAcentral
GUGGUGUAGGCCGGCAGCAACAGCUCCGAUUAGAUCCCUAGCCUGGGAACCUCCAUAUGCCGCAGGAGUGGCCCCAGAAAAGACGAAAAGACAAAAAAAAAAAAGAAAAAGAAAAAAAGAAUGCAGAAAAUGAGAAGAGACCGUUGCUGUCAGUAACCCAAACAAGAUGCAGAAGCCACAGCAUUAGAGUCUUUCUAAACCAGUCGGAGAGCUGAAGAUGCAGCUACAAAAGAAGGAGAGAAUUGGUAAGUUAGCCAAAGACACCCUGGAUUUUCAGCUGCCAAGGGCUGGGCAUGUGCAUGAGGCCUGAGGGUAUCUCCCCAGACACUUCAGGUUUUGCACAGACAAUAGCUGCAGGUGGACAGGAGCGCUAGGAGGAGUCCCUCCAAGGUGUUCUGGGCAGAGCAAGAUCUUCACAUGUGUCUAAAAGCCUGCGGCUGGGCUGGAGAGUAAAGAGGACUCAUCAACAAUGUGCAAAGCUGUCGGUCAGGUUGUCAAUCAGAGAGAGGAAGGUCUCAUGGUGGUGCAGCGGUAACAAACCCAACAAGGAUCCAUGAGGCCACUGGUUCAAUCCCUGGCGUUGCUUAUGGGUUAAGGAUCUGGUGUUGCCAUGAGCUGUGCUGUAGGUGGCAGACACGUCUCGGAUCCCGCAUUGCCGUGGCUGUGGCGUAGGUCGGCAGCUGCAUCUCUGAUUUGACCCCAGCCUGGGAACCUCCAGAUGCCACGGGUGUGACCCUAAAAAGACAAUUAAUUAAUUAAUUACUCAGUGAGAUCUAUCAUGUUGUGGAGAACUGAUGGAAAACAUGAAUAGAUUUGGGGAAUCUUGCUAGAGUGAGCACUAAAGCACUGUAGGACAGAAGAUCCUGAGCCCACCCUAAAAUAUGUGCAGCAAGUAGGGAACUGAAAUAAACAAAAUCAGCAAAAAGCUCAGACCCAGCUUAACUAUAGAAAAACGUACUCAGGCACUCCAAACCAAUGUCCAGACACAAAAAAAGAGAGCCCUUCUAAAGGGAAAUAUUAGUUACCUCAGUCUCUACUGUUUUGACAUCUCAUGAUGAAGAAAGAAGACAGUUAAUAGAACUAGACCCAUGGGUGGCUCAGAUGUUGGAAUUAUUUGACAUGAGCUUUAGAGUAACUAGAAAUAUGCUAAAUGGUCUAUUAGAAAAGGUAAACAAUAUGGAAGAGAUGGUGAAUUUCAGCAGACACAAAGAAAUGGCAAACAAUGAAUCAAGUGGAAAUUCCAGAAAUGAGAACUGCAAUAUCAGAAAUAAAUAUUUCAUCAGGUUUUAUAACAGAAUGACUCAGCAGAGCAGACACUGAGUAAACUUGAGGACAAGUGAAUUCAGAAAAAAAAAGUCAAUCCCCCCCAAAAAAACUGAGAAUAUAUAAGAGUGUCUAAAUAUAUGGGACAACAUCAGAUGGUCCAACACACCUGAAGGAGAAAGGAGAAGAGUAAAUGCUUAAGAGAUAUUUGCUGAGAAUGGUUUAAAAUCGAUGAAAGACAUCAACCCACAAAUCCAAAGAGCUCAGAAAACAGCAAUGAGAAAAAAUACAAAGGACACUCCCACACACACCAUGUGUAUGCAUACAAAUGUCAACCCAGAAUGCCGUAUCCUACAAAUGUAGCCUUAAAAAUAAAGGUGAACCAAUCUCAAGCUGUUUCAUCCUGUAUCAUUUCAUUUUUGAAGUGUCAAAAUUAUCAAAUAUGGAGAAAGAUGAGUGGAUACCAAAGGCCAUUGAUGAAGAGAAGAGAGAGGUGUUAUUCAAAAGGGCAACGUGAGAAAUCCUUGUGGUGAUGGAAUGUUAUUUGAUUGCUUUAGUGCCCAUCCCCUGGUUAUGAUAUCAUACUCUAAUUUUGUCAAUGUUAUUAGUGGAGGAAACUGAGUAAAAAAACUGUUAUCAGGAAACUGAUAUAUGGAAUCUCUCUGUUUCUCUUCCAUUGCAUGUAAAUCUACUAUUUUCCUAAAAUAGAAGAUUAAUCUAAAAAAUUAGGGGCAAAACAAUUACAUUUUUAGAGAUGAAAGCUGAGAGAGGAUUUCUCUCCGUCUGAACUUCUCUGCAAGAAAUACCAAAAUAAUUUAUCCAGGCAAAAGAAAAA